CGCCACAGCCAUGUCACCCUGCAGCCCACUGAAGCUAAGCAGAAUUGAGCCUGGCCAAUACCUGGAUGGGAGACCUUUUGGGAAAACUAGGUUGCUGUUGGAA
Molecule: ribosomal RNA, 103 nt
Filed under: Sinocyclocheilus rhinocerous
Lineage: Eukaryota; Metazoa; Chordata; Actinopteri; Cypriniformes; Cyprinidae
Source: RNAcentral